This 561-nucleotide ribosomal RNA is filed under the name Dichotomopilus fusus. Its description in RNAcentral is "eukaryotic LSU rRNA". It matches the Rfam family "Eukaryotic large subunit ribosomal RNA", at positions 38 to 625 of the family's 3401-position model. Lineage: Eukaryota; Fungi; Ascomycota; Sordariomycetes; Sordariales; Chaetomiaceae. The record is from RNAcentral.
GCAUAUCAAUAAGCGGAGGAAAAGAAACCAACAGGGAUUGCCCUAGUAACGGCGAGUGAAGCGGCAACAGCUCAAAUUUGAAAUCUGGCCUCGGCCCGAGUUGUAAUUUGCAGAGGAAGCUUUAGGCGCGGCACCUUCUGAGUCCCCUGGAACGGGGCGCCAUAGAGGGUGAGAGCCCCGUAUAGUUGGAUGCCUAGCCUGUGUAAAGCUCCUUCGACGAGUCGAGUAGUUUGGGAAUGCUGCUCAAAAUGGGAGGUAAAUUUCUUCUAAAGCUAAAUACCGGCCAGAGACCGAUAGCGCACAAGUAGAGUGAUCGAAAGAUGAAAAGCACUUUGAAAAGAGGGUUAAAUAGCACGUGAAAUUGUUGAAAGGGAAGCGCUUGUGACCAGACUUGCGCUGGGCUGAUCAUCCGGUGUUCUCACCGGUGCACUCUGCCCGGCGCAGGCCAGCAUCGGUUCUCGCGGGGGGAUAAAGGCACCGGGAACGUGGCUCCUCCGGGAGUGUUAUAGCCCGGGGCGUAAUGCCCUCGCGGGGACCGAGGUUCGCGCAUCUGCAAGGAUG